AAUGAACGCUGGCGGCGUGCUUAACACAUGCAAGUCGAACGAGAAAGGGGUGGCGACACCCCGAGUAAAGUGGCGCACGGGUGAGUAGCGCGUAGGUGACCUGCCUUCGGGUUGGGGAUAACAGGGCGAAAGCUCUGCUAAUACCGGAUGAGACUGUCCUUUCGGGGACAGUGAAAGGGUGCGAUUCCUUCGGGGAGCAUCCGCCUGGGGAGGGGCCUGCGUCCUAUCAGCUAGUUGGUGGGGUAACGGCUCACCAAGGCGACGACGGGUAGCUGGUCUGAGAGGAUGAUCAGCCACACUGGCACUGACACACGGGCCAGACUCCUACGGGAGGCAGCAGUGAGGAAUUUUGCGCAAUGGGGGAAACCCUGACGCAGCAACGCCGCGUGGGUGAUGAAGGCCUUCGGGUCGUAAAGCCCUGUCGGGCGGGAAGAAGGGGUUUUGGGCAAAUAGCCCGAGAUUUUGACGGUACCGCCAGAGGAAGCACCGGCUAACUCCGUGCCAGCAGCCGCGGUAAUACGGAGGGUGCGAGCGUUAUUCGGAAUUACUGGGCGUAAAGCGCGUGCAGGCGGAAGGAGCAGUCUGAUGUGAAAGCCCGGGGCUUAACCCCGGAAGAGCAUUGGAAACCAUCCUUCUUGAGUGCUGGAGAGGAAGGGGGAAUUCCCGGUGUAGAGGUGAAAUUCGUAGAGAUCGGGAGGAAUACCAGUGGCGAAGGCGCCCUUCUGGACAGUCAAACUGACGCUGAGACGCGAAAGCGUGGGGAGCAAACAGGAUUAGAUACCCUGGUAGUCCACGCUGUAAACGAUGAGAACUAGGUGUAGCGGGUACUCAUUCCUGCUGUGCCGAAGCUAACGCGUUAAGUUCUCCGCCUGGGGAUUACGGUCGCAAGACUAA
RNAcentral lists this ribosomal RNA (894 nucleotides) under uncultured delta proteobacterium. RNAcentral describes it as "bacterial SSU rRNA". It matches the Rfam family "Bacterial small subunit ribosomal RNA", at positions 28 to 897 of the family's 1533-position model. Lineage: Bacteria; Deltaproteobacteria. The record is from RNAcentral.